Molecule: ribosomal RNA, 253 nt
Filed under: uncultured bacterium
Lineage: Bacteria
Description: partial 16S ribosomal RNA
Rfam family: Bacterial small subunit ribosomal RNA
Source: RNAcentral
UACGAAGGGGGCUAGCGUUGUUCGGAAUUACUGGGCGUAAAGCGCACGUAGGCGGACUAUUAAGUCAGGGGUGAAAUCCCGGGGCUCAACCCCGGAACUGCCUUUGAUACUGGUAGUCUCGAGUCCGGAAGAGGUGAGUGGAAUUCCGAGUGUAGAGGUGAAAUUCGUAGAUAUUCGGAGGAACACCAGUGGCGAAGGCGGCUCACUGGUCCGGUACCGACGCUGAGAAGCGAAAGCAUGGGGAGCGAACAGG